Molecule: ribosomal RNA, 301 nt
Filed under: uncultured bacterium
Lineage: Bacteria
Description: partial 16S ribosomal RNA
Rfam family: Bacterial small subunit ribosomal RNA
Source: RNAcentral
CAGUCGCCACGGUAAUACGGAGGGUGCAAGCGUUACCCGGAUUUACUGGGCGUAAAGGGCGUGUAGGCGGCCUGGGGCGUCCCAUGUGAAAGGCCACGGCUCAACCGUGGAGGAGCGUGGGAUACGCUCAGGCUAGAGGGUGGGAGAGGGUGGUGGAAUUCCUGGAGUAGCGGUGAAAUGCGCAGAUACCGGGAGGAACGCCGAUGGCGAAGGCAGCCACCUGGUCCACUUCUGACGCUGAGGCGCGAAAGCGUGGGGAGCAAACCGGAUUAGAGACCCCUGUAGUCCCUGUCUCUUAUAA